Molecule: ribosomal RNA, 494 nt
Filed under: uncultured bacterium
Lineage: Bacteria
Description: partial 16S ribosomal RNA
Rfam family: Bacterial small subunit ribosomal RNA
Source: RNAcentral
GACGAACGCUGGCGGCGUGCUUAACACAUGCAAGUCGAACGGUGAAGCGCCUUCCUUUUUGGUGGGUGUGGAUGAGUGGCGAACGGGUGAGUAACACGUGAGUAACCUGCCCCCUUCUUCUGGAUAACCGCAUGAAAGUGUGGCUAAUACGGGAUAUUCUGGGUCUGUCGCAUGAUGGGUCUGGGAAAGAUAUUGUUUCGGUGGGGGAUGGGCUCGCGGCCUAUCAGCUUGUUGGUGGGGUGAUGGCCUACCAAGGCGGUGACGGGUAGCCGGCCUGAGAGGGUGGACGGUCACACUGGGACUGAGACACGGCCCAGACUCCUACGGGAGGCAGCAGUGGGGAAUAGUGCACAAUGGGCGCAAGCCUGAUGUAGCGACGCCGCGUGAGGGAUGGAGGCCUUCGGGUUGUGAACCUCUUUCGCCAGUGAAGCAGGCCUGCCUCGUUUGUGGGUGGGUUGACGGUAGCUGGAUAAGAAGCGCCGGCUAACUACGUG